This 253-nucleotide ribosomal RNA is filed under the name uncultured bacterium. RNAcentral describes it as "partial 16S ribosomal RNA". It matches the Rfam family "Bacterial small subunit ribosomal RNA", at positions 524 to 776 of the family's 1533-position model. The record is from RNAcentral.
UACGUAGGGGGCAAGCGUUGUCCGGAAUCAUUGGGCGUAAAGCGCGCGUAGGCGGCCCGGUAAGUCGGGUGUGAAAUCUCGGAGCUUAACUCCGAAACUGCAUUCGAUACUGCCGUGCUUGAGGACUGGAGAGGAGACUGGAAUUUACGGUGUAGCGGUGAAAUGCGUAGAUAUCGUAAGGAAGACCAGUGGCGAAGGCGGGUCUCUGGACAGUUCCUGACACUGAGACACGAAGGCCAGGGGAGCAAACGGG